ACCUCGCCGCUCCAGUACCAACUGCCCGACCAGGUGUUGCUAACCAUAUUCGGCUACUUGCUGUCGGUUUCAGGGCAUCAGCUCUGUUGGGGCAAACUGAGCCGCUUCGGCGAGCGGGCCAAUAAUUUCAACAUUGUUUCAAUUCCAAGUUGAUUGUUUUGAAUUAAUAUAGUCUACUGUUACAGAGAGACUAUGCCUUUUGAAAAUAUAAACGGUUACCUGAUAAGUACCUUAAUUUGUGUUAUGAAAUAUGAUUGAUAUCCAACUAUUUAAUAAAUUUCUCAAUUUGAAAGAUUCAAAUGAUAUUAUUUCGAUUAUUUACUUGCCCACCAAGUGCAGUUUUCUCGGUGAAAGCUUAAACCGAAUUGGAUCAGCUGGUGUGUUUUAAUAUCAAUUAAACUUAACAUGGAUUUAAUUCAUAUUAAGCCGACAUUUGGUUCAAACUGGUACUGUGAAAACGGCUUUUAAAUCGUUAGAAUUAUUCAAGUAAUUAGUAUGGUGAUUAUUAUCAUAGAAAAAAUAUAUCAUAAGAAGAUAACCCUAUGGUAUAGAUUGUUUAUGUUUCAUUGUGCGUUUUAAAACAGUAAAGAAAAAAGUAUCUCAGGUUUGGCUGAAAUUUGCACCAUAGAUGAAGCUUUAUCUGAGAAAUGUCUGAGCCAAAUUUGGCACCCCCAGCUACUAUACAGGGUGAGUUAUGCAGCUUCAAACGUAAAAUUUGCAAAUUUUCAAACGGUGAGGAAUUUUGCAAAUCGGAUUCCAGAUUCAUGUUCCUCUCAUCAAAGAGCAUAAGGUCACGAAGUUAGAGCGAUUUUGAUUUUUCACAAAAAAAUUAGAUAAACCAUGGAUUUUAUGAAAAAUGCGAAUGUGCCAGAUUCGGUUGAUAUUCGAACUAUGGAAAGAGGUUGACUCAACAAGUGAUAGAUAAAUGUCUUUUAUUUUCAUUUUAUAACAUUACAAAUGAUGUGGGCGAAGUUGAGGCAAUAAGAGCCCCCCUCUUCCACUUGACCCACAAGUAUGGGUCUGUUUGUGUAAAUGGCAGAAGAUAAGAAAAGAUUCAUUGAACAAUUGACAAGUUUACUUGAUAGAAUACUUGACAAUUAUAUAGUCUAAAAUAAGAACUUAGUCAAAAAUAACAGAUUAAACUAGCUGACGUACAAACAACUCUAAAGUAAUUUUUCACUAAGUUACCAAGAGGGAUUAUUAACUAUGGAAUGAGAAAGAAAUCAAUAAAAAUGCUUACUUUCUUGAUCAGAUUUAUUAUAGUUUUUAGUAUAAAAGAUUUUUUUUCAAAGAGCAAAGAAUAAAGAGUUAACCUGAUUUCAAAAUCUCAGUCCAAGUAAACUGAAGAUCAGUAGUAAAUUAUACAAGAAAAUUUACAAUAAUCAAAAAUAUAAUAGCUGUAAAUUCUGCUCAAAAUAAGAUCUAGUUGCACGAAAUUUGUUUAAUAACUGAUUAAAUUAUUAGAUUUUUCUGUAUUAGCUGUUAUGCUACUAUAGCGGUGACUGAGGACUCUAUAGAUUUGUUUCUAUAAGUAUUUCAGAAGAAGUUGCUGUUGUGGGCUGUACAACUCGCUUUCCUGAUAGAUUUCCCUUUAAGAAUCUGAUCUGUUUCAUUUUCAUGAUGGCCUAUGGGCUAUGUGAGAUAAUGGGAUGAUGUUCCAGUAAUUUAACCAUAACUAUUGAACGGUUCAUCAGAGCCUUAUUUUGUAGCAAACGUUGUUGUAGAAUAUAACAUUUUUCUCAUCAUCAUAUACCGUAGUUGAAAAUUUUGUCACUGCAAUUAAUAAAUUCAAACUGAGAGAUUUAAUGCUUCAAAAAAAGCAGGACCGCAUCUCUAGUAGAAUUUUCCCUAGUUUUUAUAUCUCUAACUUUUGUUAGCUUCAUAGUAGCUUUGUACGCAUGAGGACCUUUUUUGUAUAAUAUCAAAUUGACUGUUGAGUAACAAGUUCUAAUUACUAACUAAAGUCAAGAGUAAAGAGCUAUUUUAUUCGAUUUUCAAUAUAAUCAUUAUAUACCGUAGUUAGUAGGUAUAGCAUAAAGUUUACUUUAGUUCUGUUCAUAGAUAGCAUACAGCUUUUGAAUUUGCCGGUUGAUAACCUAGUUUGAAUUUGCCGGUGAGCCAACAUGAUAAUGAUGUUUCAAAACCUUUUGAAUAAUAUAGAAUGAAGAGUGAAUCUUUUUAUGAAUAAUUCUUUCAAACGUAAUAAAGACAUUAAUCUAUAGUUAUAAAAUUCCUUAUCUAUAAAAAAUCAUUUGAGAACCAUUGAAUGUCGAUAUUUUUUCCAAAUGUUUCAAUCAAAAGUACUUAUAUAUAUUCCCAACUUUUCAAUGAAUAAUGGUAUAAAUCAACUAGAAAAUAUAUUUGAAACUUUUAAAAUAAUUAUUUGAAUAUCAUAAUUCUAAUUUGAUGAUAGAUAUACUUAAUUAUUUUCUAUUAUUUUUUUGCGUUGUGUAGUGGUACGGCUGGCUACCUGCUGUUGAAGCUAAUCAGCUGUUUGAUGUUCAUUAUUUUUUUCAACUAUGAAUUGCGUUAAUAGUGCUUCCAAUAAACAGGAUAAUUUGAUACAUCAGAGAAAUAAUUUAAAUAUUUUAUUUGAACGUAUCAAUUGUUAAUACAUAAUUAUUUUUUCAUUAUUAUUUUGCGGUGUGUAGUGGUACAGCUGGUUACCAAAAUCCGUCUCCAUCGAGGUCAGUUACGUUGCAAGCACGCGUUGCAUUUUUACCUCCUGUGUUCUUCUGAAACCCUGUUGCUUGGUAUGGAUUGUAAGACACAGAAGAAGACGCAUUUAGAUGUUUUUGGAUCUUGAAUCUUGAUGCUCACAGAAAAGCAAGUCAACCAGACAGGCUCUGAAAAUUGAUGAAAUGGAACAAAUUAUUUGGACAAGACACUAGAAAAAUUCUACUCGGUCGGUUUUGAAAUCAUACCUCAAGAAACUUGCGGGAUCUUCGUCUGCACUGCACUAGCAUUUCAGGGUUUGUUGGAGGCGAACGACAUCCACAACAAUGGGAUAGCGGGGUUCGGGCGCCAACCCGACAGUGACAGUGGUGCACUGCGAGAUCCACCACGGACAGACGGGUGGCUUGUACGGGCUCGGCCAGUUCAUCGACAACCGCAUCCAUUCCCACAGCAACCCCACCGCAACGAGAUCUACAACGGCCAUCAGGGUGGCGUCUUCAUCUUGGGCGAAGGCCGCGGCUUGAUCGAGCAUAACAAUAUCUAUGUGACUCAAUGUGGAUUGUGAAGACACAGAAGGGGACGCAUUUGGAUCUUGAAUCAUGAAUGUUGAAUCUUGAUGCUCACAGAAAAGGAAGUCAACCAGACAGGCUCUGGAAAUUGAUGAAAUGGAACAAAUUAUUUGGACAAGACACUAGAAAAAUUCUACUCGGUCGGUUUUGUAAUCAUACCUCAAGAUACUUGCGAGAUCUUCGUCUGCACUGCACUAGCAUUUCAGUCGUCGCCGCCGCACCACGAUCACUCGGCGGCAUCCACAUCUAGUGGUGGUGGAUCUACAUGCAAGGAGCAUGCGCACUACCACUGGAUGUGGAUGCUGGAUGAGUUGGGCAACCUCGGCCGCUCCAGUACCAACUGCCCGACCAGGUGUUGCUAACCAUAUUCGGCUACUUGCUGUCGGUUUCAGGGCAUCAGCUCUGUUGGGGCAAACUGAGCCGCUUCGGCGAGCGGGCCAAUAAUUUCAACAUUGUUUCAAUUCCAAGUUGAUUGUUUUGAAUUAAUAUAGUCUACUGUUACAGAGAGACUAUGCCUUUUGAAAAUAUAAACGGUUACCUGAUAAGUACCUUAAUUUGUGUUAUGAAAUAUGAUUGAUAUCCAACUAUUUAAUAAAUUUCUCAAUUUGAAAGAUUCAAAUGAUAUUAUUUCGAUUAUUUACUUGCCCACCAAGUGCAGUUUUCUCGGUGAAAGCUUAAACCGAAUUGGAUCAGCUGGUGUGUUUUAAUAUCAAUUAAACUUAACAUGGAUUUAAUUCAUAUUAAGCCGACAUUUGGUUCAAACUGGUACUGUGAAAACGGCUUUUAAAUCGUUAGAAUUAUUCAAGUAAUUAGUAUGGUGAUUAUUAUCAUAGAAAAAAUAUAUCAUAAGAAGAUAACCCUAUGGUAUAGAUUGUUUAUGUUUCAUUGUGCGUUUUAAAACAGUAAAGAAAAAAGUAUCUCAGGUUUGGCUGAAAUUUGCACCAUAGAUGAAGCUUUAUCUGAGAAAUGUCUGAGCCAAAUUUGGCACCCCCAGCUACUAUACAGGGUGAGUUAUGCAGCUUCAAACGUAAAAUUUGCAAAUUUUCAAACGGUGAGGAAUUUUGCAAAUCGGAUUCCAGAUUCAUGUUCCUCUCAUCAAAGAGCAUAAGGUCACGAAGUUAGAGCGAUUUUGAUUUUUCACAAAAAAAAUUAGAUAAACCAUGGAUUUUAUGAAAAAUGCGAAUGUGCCAGAUUCGGUUGAUAUUCGAACUAUGGAAAGAGGUUGACUCAACAAGUGAUAGAUAAAUGUCUUUUAUUUUCAUUUUAUAACAUUACAAAUGAUGUGGGCGAAGUUGAGGCAAUAAGAGCCCCCCUCUUCCACUUGACCCACAAGUAUGGGUCUGUUUGUGUAAAUGGCAGAAGAUAAGAAAAGAUUCAUUGAACAAUUGACAAGUUUACUUGAUAGAAUACUUGACAAUUAUAUAGUCUAAAAUAAGAACUUAGUCAAAAAUAACAGAUUAAACUAGCUGACGUACAAACAACUCUAAAGUAAUUUUUCACUAAGUUACCAAGAGGGAUUAUUAACUAUGGAAUGAGAAAGAAAUCAAUAAAAAUGCUUACUUUCUUAAUCAGAUUUAUUAUAGUUUUUAGUAUAAAAGAUUUUUUUUUCAAAGAGCAAAGAAUAAAGAGUUAACCUGAUUUCAAAAUCUCAGUCCAAGUAAACUGAAGAUCAGUAGUAAAUUAUACAAGAAAAUUUACAAUAAUCAAAAAUAUAAUAGCUGUAAAUUCUGCUCAAAAUAAGAUCUAGUUGCACGAAAUUUGUUUAAUAACUGAUUAAAUUAUUAGAUUUUUCUGUAUUAGCUGUUAUGCUACUAUAGCGGUGACUGAGGACUCUAUAGAUUUGUUUCUAUAAGUAUUUCAGAAGAAGUUGCUGUUGUGGGCUGUACAACUCGCUUUCCUGAUAGAUUUCCCUUUAAGAAUCUGAUCUGUUUCAUUUUCAUGAUGGCCUAUGGGCUAUGUGAGAUAAUGGGAUGAUGUUCCAGUAAUUUAACCAUAACUAUUGAACGGUUCAUCAGAGCCUUAUUUUGUAGCAAACGUUGUUGUAGAAUAUAACAUUUUUCUCAUCAUCAUAUACCGUAGUUGAAAAUUUUGUCACUGCAAUUAAUAAAUUCAAACUGAGAGAUUUAAUGCUUCAAAAAAAGCAGGACCGCAUCUCUAGUAGAAUUUUCCCUAGUUUUUAUAUCUCUAACUUUUGUUAGCUUCAUAGUAGCUUUGUACGCAUGAGGACCUUUUUUGUAUAAUAUCAAAUUGACUGUUGAGUAACAAGUUCUAAUUACUAACUAAAGUCAAGAGUAAAGAGCUAUUUUAUUCGAUUUUGAAUAUAAUCAUUAUAUACCGUAGUUAGUAGUUAUAGCAUAAAGUUUACUUUAGUUCUGUUCAUAGAUAGCAUACAGCUUUUGAAUUUGCCGGUUGAUAACCUAGUUUGAAUUUGCCGGUGAGCCAACAUGAUAAUGAUGUUUCAAAACCUUUUGAAUAAUAUAGAAUGAAGAGUGAAUCUUUUUAUGAAUAAUUCUUUCAAACGUAAUAAAGACAUUAAUCUAUAGUUAUAAAAUUCCUUAUCUAUAAAAAAUCAUUUGAGAACCAUUGAAUGUCGAUAUUUUUUCCAAAUGUUUCAAUCAAAAGUACUUAUAUAUAUUCCCAACUUUUCAAUGAAUAAUGGUAUAAAUCAACUAGAAAAUAUAUUUGAAACUUUUAAAAUAAUUAUUUGAAUAUCAUAAUUCUAAUUUGAUGAUAGAUAUACUUAAUUAUUUUCUAUUAUUUUUUUGCGUUGUGUAGUGGUACGGCUGGCUACCUGCUGUUCAAGCUAAUCAGCUGUUUGAUGUUCAUUAUUUUUUUCAACUAUGAAUUGCGUUAAUAGUGCUUCCAAUAAACAGGAUAAUUUGAUACAUCAGAGAAAUAAUUUAAAUAUUUUAUUUGAACGUAUCAAUUGUUAAUACAUAAUUAUUUUUUCAUUAUUAUUUUGCGGUGUGUAGUGGUACAGCUGGUUACCAAAAUCCGUCUCCAUCGAGUUGCUUGGUAUGGAUUGUAAGACACAGAAGAAGACGCAUUUAGAUGUUUUUGGAUCUUGAAUCUUGAUGCUCACAGAAAAGCAAGUCAACCAGACAGGCUCUGAAAAUUGAUGAAAUGGAACAAAUUAUUUGGACAAGACACUAGAAAAAUUCUACUCGGUCGGUUUUGAAAUCAUACCU
Nilaparvata lugens (brown planthopper) is the source of this 6433-nucleotide RNA transcript. RefSeq lists it as uncharacterized. Lineage: Eukaryota; Metazoa; Arthropoda; Insecta; Hemiptera; Delphacidae. The transcript is spliced from 11 exons. The record is from RefSeq and is a predicted model, not a curated record.